GACGAACGCUGGCGGCGUGCUUAACACAUGCAAGUCGAGCGCCCCGCAAGGGGAGCGGCAGACGGGUGAGUAACACGUGGGAACGUGCCUUUUGGUUCGGAACAACCCAGGGAAACUUGGGCUAAUACCGGAUAAGCCCUUACGGGGAAAGAUUUAUCGCCAAAAGAUCGGCCCGCGUCUGAUUAGCUAGUUGGUGGGGUAAUGGCCCACCAAGGCUACGAUCAGUAGCUGGUCUGAGAGGAUGAUCAGCCACAUUGGGACUGAGACACGGCCCAAACUCCUACGGGAGGCAGCAGUGGGGAAUAUUGGACAAUGGGGGCAACCCUGAUCCAGCCAUGCCGCGUGAGUGAUGAAGGCCUUAGGGUUGUAAAGCUCUUUUAGCAGGGAAGAUAAUGACGGUACCUGCAGAAAAAGCCCCGGCUAACUUCGUGCCAGCCGCCGCCGUAA
Molecule: ribosomal RNA, 447 nt
Filed under: uncultured bacterium
Lineage: Bacteria
Description: partial 16S ribosomal RNA
Rfam family: Bacterial small subunit ribosomal RNA
Source: RNAcentral